AGUACAAAUGAACAAUCCUGUUACAACUGGUGGCCCCCAAUAGGCCAUCCAAGUUACAACUUGCAUAUUCAGGAAUGUUCUUUCUUUGGUCCAGUAUAAACAAUAUGUAUUGAGCAAUUUACUAAAAAAUAAUAUCACAAAACACCGUACGGACAUGAUAAACAGGGUAAACUAAACAAAGAAGAAAACAUAUAACCUCUCGAAAAAGAGCUCUCUCACUGUACAAUGGAAAAGAACCACACCUGAAAUAUUAAAACAUAAACUGCCUGUCAC
Molecule: long non-coding RNA, 273 nt
Filed under: Elaeis guineensis (African oil palm)
Lineage: Eukaryota; Viridiplantae; Streptophyta; Magnoliopsida; Arecales; Arecaceae
Description: long non-coding RNA (EGUI_LNC017758)
Source: RNAcentral